RNAcentral lists this transfer RNA (74 nucleotides) under Stegodyphus mimosarum. It matches the Rfam family "tRNA". Rfam says of the family: Transfer RNA (tRNA) molecules are approximately 80 nucleotides in length. Their secondary structure includes four short double-helical elements and three loops (D, anti-codon, and T loops). The record is from Rfam by way of RNAcentral. Lineage: Eukaryota; Metazoa; Arthropoda; Arachnida; Araneae; Eresidae.
GCCUUCGUGGUGUAGAGGUCAGCACGCUCGACGCGAAACCGAGAGGUCCGGGGGUUCGAUUCCCGGCGAAAGCG